UAGGGAAUCUUCCACAAUGGACGCAAGUCUGAUGGAGCAACGCCGCGUGAGUGAAGAAGGCUUUCGGGUCGUAAAACUCUGUUAUUGAAGAAGAACGUGUGUGACAGUAACUGGUCAUGCAGUGACGGUAUUCAAUCAGAAAGUCACGGCUAACUACGUGCCAGCAGCCGCGGUAAUACGUAGGUGGCAAGCGUUGUCCGGAUUUAUUGGGCGUAAAGCGAGUGCAGGCGGUCUUUUAAGUCUGAUGUGAAAGCCUUCGGCUUAACCGAAGAAGGGCAUCGGAAACUGGGAGACUUGAGUGCAGAAGAGGAGAGUGGAACUCCAUGUGUAGCGGUGAAAUGCGUAGAUAUACGGAAGAACACCAGUGGCGAAGGCGGCUCUCUGGUCUGUAACUGACGCUGAGGCUCGAAAGCGUGGGUAGCAAACAGGAUUAGAUACCCUGGUAGU
This 447-nucleotide ribosomal RNA is filed under the name uncultured bacterium. RNAcentral describes it as "partial 16S ribosomal RNA". It matches the Rfam family "Bacterial small subunit ribosomal RNA", at positions 355 to 794 of the family's 1533-position model. The record is from RNAcentral.